CAACAAUUGUCAGACUGCCAGGGCAGAGAGAGCCAGGAAAGGAAGAAGGGGAGGGUGAAGGAGCAAGCUAUGAGUGGCACCACAGAGUGGGUACAAGGAGAAUUAGACAGGUGCCACGGGAAGAGGUUGGCAGAAUGAGGAAAAGGUAGAUAUUGGUAAAAAAAAAAGUGGUGGGACAGAUAACAGCAGAAUUGGUGGAAGAGGGAGAGAUGGAAAAGACUUCAAGAUUUCAGCGGAUGACAAGACCAACACAGAAGACUGGAGAGAGACAGGGAACUGGAAGGACAAAGGCAGACAAGGAAGGAGGGGGGGGCACAUAGCCAAAAAGAGGAUAUGGAAGAAAAAAAAAAGGGAUGAGGAAAAAAAUAGCGAAGUGUGAAAAGAGAACAAAACAAACCACAGAGGGUGAAUGGUAAUGUGUCGUGCAGGCACCCCCACCUCCACUGGAUGCAACACUCCCACUCCUUUCAUGGUCUGCAGUCUGUCAUCAACACCCGUCUCCAAGGACAGCACAGGCAAGGGCUCCAUCAGUGGCCGUGCAAUAGAAAUCACCCACGACAUAGGGUACGCAUCAAAGAUGGUCAGCCCCUUUGUGAUUUACUUUCUGUGGCAACAACAAAACAAGAGGGGAGCCAUCAGUCUGAUCAAUCUGAUGUAAGCCAACUGAACUAAAGAAGGCCGAAUGUUUCUCUGAAGAUUUUGAUUCCUGUCUGCCUGCCCGCUCGACUGCCAGCCUGCCUGUCUGCCAACAAUCUCUCCCCCGCUUCCUCGGCCGGCCGUGCUGCCCAACAGAUCUCCAUUCCACCACUUCCCUUUGCCGUCUCCAGUCAUCCUUGCUAUUCAACCCAUCUCUGUGUACAGUCACUACUGCAAUAAACCAAUCAGAGUUCCAGUGAAACAGAAGUUAGCGUACCUUUAGCUUCUGUACUGUGAUUUCAAACUAAACCAACAUGAUCACCUCGUUGUGCUACCAGGAGGUCCAAAAUAAUGAACAAAAUGUGGUCUGGCUGCUUGAGUCCAUCUGAGCUUUUUUGUGGAUUGGUCAUCUGGAAUCAUCUUUUUAAGCAAGAGAGAUGGCAACAAAAUUGGACCCCAUUUGUCAUCCAUUCACUGGAUGAGAUAAACCAGGUUUUCCACUGUUAAGAUGACGAUAACAGUGAUGAACUUCCAGUGCUGGAUGAGGGGAAGUGUCGGGGGUCUUCAACCUAUUGGCUUUGUGGACAAGUUAGGGUAGGGCUAGGGCAAGAGAAAACAUGUCUCACAGUUUGGGGGUGGAAUGGUUGGGUCAGCGAUUUGGGAAUACCACAAUUAACUCCAUGCCAACUACUAAUUUAAGUUAGGCCCAUAUUUUUAAACAACUUUCACAUUCAUUCUCAACCAAUAAGUCUGGAAAUUAUGGCAGAUUUAGUCCCUUGAAUGAUGCAUAGAAAAAACAUGGUUGAAUAUAAAACUUUGACAAUGCUGACUCAGAGAUAAAUAUAUCUGAAUUUAAGAUUUUCAAAGUCAUGAAGUAACAUUAAGUUCAACCAGUUGAUUCAAGUUCAAAUGUAUUGGCAGAGCAUGAAUUGAUUCAGCUGCAUUGCUCAACAUCUGUUAAGCAACAUCAAGUUCACCAGAUUCAUGGGUUCAGUUCGAGGAAGUUCAAUAUGAAGAUAAGUGCUUGCCAUCUGUGAGGCUGUAAAGGAACACAGUGUCCUCUAAAGUGUUUCAGGCUUCGGCUGUAAGACAAAGAGAGGGGGUAACAGGGUGAUGUCAGGGAGCAGAACCUUGGUGCCCUGCCCAACUGGCCAACACAGCUUGAGCGCUGGCUUACGGAGGCCACAGACCUUCUCCAUGUGACCUUUAACCAGGUCACCUCCACAAUACACACCAUUACCAUAACAUGACAUGUAGCAAAGCAAGAAAGAAAUUAUAUAGACAUUGGACAUACAGCGUGUGGGCUGCGGGCGAUAAUAACCCAUAAUACAAAAGGGUGACAAAAAAAAAAAUCACACAAUUUGCAUUUAAUAGAGAUGACCACUCUUCACAUACCAGAUUGUGUUUUUAAAUAAAAAACAUGAAGAGAAAGCACGGGGGUGCGGUGAUAUGAGGCUGCAUUAGCCACACCUUCUGGGAAUAGGGCCUGCAGAGAGGCUACUUGCUCAGUGAAGUGUAAUCUUCAGUGGCCUGGUCCCUGUGACAGGCGGCAUAGUGAGUGGUUUGGGUGGGGCAGGUGGGGCCUUACACAAAGCAACGAGUUUCACUAUGGCAGGUAGGGGAUACAAAUAACACACAUACAGCAUAAACACAGGGGGAGGGCAUCAGACCGUGUAGGAGCCCAGCAUGAAAGGUAGAUCAGCGGUGAUAGAGAGAGAAAACUAGAUGGUGGAAAGGGGGCUGCGGGGAAAUUGGCUGGAGGGCGUGAAGGGAUGAGAGAGAAGAUAGAAACUAGGCAGCGAUGGUAAAUAGAACAGAGCUGUAUAUGUGGAAAUGCAAUGGGACGAAGGGGGUGAAUGGAAUGAUAAAGAGGAUAACUAUUGUGUAAAGAGGGGGAGCUGAAAGGAUAAAACAAAAGAUACAAGGUCAAAGAGGGGUUGUAAAAGGAAUAGAUGCCAAUAGAGAGAUGCUGGAAAAUAAUUUCAUGCUAUCAAGGGGAAUGCAUAGAGUCACCGGGUAGAGAAGAACCAAAGAAAACACCACAGAUCUACGUGGUAGAAGCGUAAUCACAAGUGGUAUCUCCAGGUAUGCAAUCCAGGUAUAAUAAAAUCUUAACAGCAUGUUAUAACUAUUGUUCACACUGUGUCAAAUAUGUUUUGAUUCAGCCCAAUGAUACUUUUUGAAGCUGAUGUUUCUGGUAUUAUUGUCUCAGUUUACAUUUAUUUAAGUUGUUCAUCACAUUUAACCUUUACACCCAUGUAUAUGUGAGUAAAUUGGGCAAUAUGUUAAAAACACCUUCCAAUAAAAUGCAGUCUAACAUAUAAUAAUAGCAUAUAAUUGAGUCAGCACAAAAUAAUUGUGUUUACAAAUAUUGUUACAUAAGGUGGUAUUCACUGCAGGGCUCUUAUAUUGUUGUUUCUAUUCUCAUUGCUUCUUCUUCAGUGGCUUCAACGGGAAAAAAUCGUACCCAUUUGACAUGAGUGAGCACAUACACGCACAAACAUGCAAACCUGUGAGCACAAGUGGCCUCACUAUGCAGUCAAAUCAUAUCACACAUACGCCUGACAGCCAGGCAAACCAUGCAUCUAUGUUAGUUAAUGCUUGCUAUGGCUGAAUCCACUUGACCAUUGCAUCAUUUGUCCUUCAGGUUGUGGUUGGGCUGUUUACGAGUUGGAGCCACGACUUCAUCACCCCGUUCCACCUCCCUCCAUCUUUACGGCCCUGUAGGUACCUGACCUUUAAGAAAGUGUCUGGUGAAACGGAACAGGGGGAGGAAUAGAGGAAGGCUCAGGAGAUGUGUGUACCCCCUAGGGAGAUGGACAGACUCGUAUAGAUAUGGGAAGUAGUGGCACUUGAAAGCAAAUGGGAAUCAGGAUGGAAAUAGAGGCACAUCAGCAACUGUUGCCUGCAGGGUGGAGAGAAGUUGUUUGGCGUGCACCACUGAGGUGGAAAUGUGUGGAUGGCCUGGCAUGGUGGGUGGGCAAUAGCUUUUUUUAAAGGAAAAAAAUGAGAGGCAUUUUAUGGCUAUGAAGAUAUCCUGUAAUUCCUUGACACCACGCUAUUUCCUCCUUUUAUUAGAAGCUAUAGUGAUCAGGAAAUGAAAUAACAUGCAGCAAUUACCUUUAAAAAACAGGCAUGGGCUAUAUUUGAAGUGGGACUGGAUUGGCCCAACAUGCACUGUACGCUUAUCUGAAGUCAUGCUGUGGGAAGGAUCCUGUAAACAACACAACUUGUUUUCCUUGCUGGCCUUUUGAAUGUUUUCAAAUCUUUUGGUACUCUUGAGGAACUGGAUGUGCUAUCUGCCUGUUUUUAAAUGCAUUUAUUCAAUCUGGUCACUAUUGCCUGUGUCAUAUGUAUCUCGGUCAUCUAUGCUGCUGCUUAAUGUCCUCACAAAUCGAAAAAAUCAAAGCGAAAAAUAGCCAACCCGAUAUGUUUAAAAAUUGCUGGAAAAUUAGCCCAAAAGUCAUACACAUGGUAUUUUUGUCAAAACGCUGCAUCACAUUUUUCACUGACAUAUUUAAUAUCUAAAGUGUUUUCAUUCAAAUGUUUGGUAAUGUGGGCUCUCAAGCUUGUACAGCAGUUGUAUGCCUUAACUGGCAAAGACAUUUACCAUGCAGUGCUUAUAAACAUCUUAUUAACGAUAUUUGGACAAUUGGACCCCACACAAACACCAUUACAGACAUAUUUGCAGAGAAAUCACGUGGAUAAGAAAUAAUCCUUUACAGUGAAGGCUGAGCACAAACAACAGCCGCUGUACUCGACAAUAGAGUGUGGAAGUUAACAUUUGAAAAAGCACAAUAAAUACACACAUGACCAGAUAUCCAGCAGAGAGGUGUAUACAUCCACUGCAGACAAAGUACCAAACACAUUAAUACAAACAUACAUCCUCUGCUUUCACAUUGUUAUGUGUAUCACAGUGUACAUCUCUGUCGGUCACUCACAUAUACAUGUAUAUAAUGACAAAAGUGAUGACUGCGCAGUUUGAGUAAAGGGGAUCUUUUUCCUUGUUGAGGAAAUCCAAAGUUGUCAUGAUUAAAUUCUGAUUUCAGAGCCAUCUGUUUCCAUCAGCAACAGCACCCUUCAUCUCCAAAGGGGUUAUUGAUUUGGGUCUUAAUCUACAAAUAAAUAUAAAGACUGAGUUUUUUUUUUUGGUUGUUUUUUUUUGAUGCUGUCAGCAAUGUUAAAAGGACAGCUCAUCUGGCUGAUGGAUGGGAGCAAAUGUUGCCCAGGGCCUAAGGGUGGACUGGAAGAGAAAUGUACCUUAUAACAAACACACAAACACAGACACACAUAAACAUCCCCUCCAGAUGGGUCCCCCCCUUGUGAGCAGUGUGUAGGAUCCAAUUAUGUGUGUGUGUAGGUGUGUGCAUGUGUGUGUGAGUUGGGGUUAGAACUUUGUGAAGCUUAACAAUUGGGAGUAUUGCCUUUAACAGUUUUUUUGUUGUUGUUUUAUCGCUUUGGCCUAAUUUUCAGAGUCAAUUUAGAGAGCUAAUGCAAAAGUCAGCUGCAAAGUACCACCAACGGGUAAAAUGUAACUGUCUGUUUCAAAAUAAUCUUCAAAAGUGUGUUUAGUAGCAUCCCCAUCUUUCAGAAAUUGUUAAGAUAAAGCCAGAUUCAAAAAAUAAAAAUUACAUUUAUACCUAUAAUCUAUAAAAUGUUUCCCUUGAGAGAAUGCAGUCAUUUUCAUCAUUUGACCCUUUGCUAUACUCUGUUGCUACUCUGUGAAGCUGUCAGAGCUAGCACGGAGCCCACACUGUCGCUAACUGCACUCCUCGAAUAUAUAUUAUCUCAAUUUUGGGAAGAUAAAAAAGUGAUGUCAGAGAUAAACAGAGGGUCUACAAUAUGCGUUUGAAUGAUAUAUCCAUGAUGUCAAACUGAUUCAGCAGCGGGGUAGGUCUUAUGUGUUAUAAUCAUUAAAAAGCAAAGACAGCAUGAUUAGUCGUUCACCAUACGUGCUAACGCUAGUGUGCUAACAUACUCUGCUAAUGUUAGCUCCACAGGUUUUUACGUAAAAACUCAAUAUUUUAGAAAAGUAUAUCUCCUUGAAGCAGAGGCUGUUGGAACCUGGUAAGAGCUGGCCGACGUUAUAUGUCUAAAUCCGAGGUAAUUUUGCACCUGUAGAGAAACAUUCUGUGUUGCUACAUCAACGUCUUUUGUCUACUCUGCAUAAACAAGCUGCGUUCUACGUCACAGGCUAACCUCCACAAUGGACAAGAAAAAGAAAUCUAUGAAUCAGUAAAUCAGGCAGUAAAAUUGCUCAAUGCAUUGAGUGAUGAAGAGUUUAACGGUGAUGAGGUUGAAGGGUUGAGCGAUGUUACUAGCAUUGAGGGACUACAACUAUAUAUUGUAGUUAUACAACCCUGUGUUGUACAAUGAUAAAUAAAUGAACCAAGUAAAUUGUACCUAUUGGCACCUAAGGAAUCUACCUUCCAAAUGUUAAUACAUAUACAGAUCACAAAUCACUUGUCAAACAGCAUCACUUGGCUGUUUGCAGCCAAGGCGGGUUGUAGCGUGUUAGUGUUGGUCAAGGCUGUAGGUUAUUGUUACCAUAAAAUAACCUAAUGUACAGUACACUCGUAACAAACCAGAUUAUGGUCAUUUCAUGUUGUAAAUGUAUCUCGCAGUUUGAUGUUUGGGGUCCAUGGAUGUAAACGCAAGCUUUAUAGCGAGGUGGAUAAAGAAGAGAGAAUGAGAUGUUUGGUGCAAUAAAUCUAUGCCAUAAAGCGUAAUCACUGAACGUGUCACCUCAUUUAUUUGCAGAGCUUUAGUGUCGCUCUUGCGUCACAGAACACACAACUGUAUUCAUGUUGCCUGCUAGUGCUAGAUGCUAGUUUACAGGGUAAACCAUUUGAGCCGCUGUAGUGAAAGCUUUAGCUCCAAAGACGGCUGCUUGACCCAGAAUCAGGCCAGUAUAGUUUUGUGCUUUAGAAUACAGAGAGAUGAUUGUUAACUAAAUUAAUAACAAAAUAACUCAUAGUGACAAGACAUCUACAUUAAAUGAUAAAGAGCAUUUGCUGUGAACAUGUUGAGCCCUUUCACAGCCCCCAGACAGCCACAAAGCACAGAGAGGUCAAAACUGAACAGAAGUCCCUGUGGGAGCUCUCUUGCCCUUCAACCUCUAGGUGCUCAUCCCUGAUGCUCAUUCCCUAGAGGUGUCAGAUGAAGACAAACCAAGUGGUGCUGCAUAUGCAAUGGCCAGAAAGGAAAGUGUGGGACGGAAGGGACAAGGAACUUGAGAAGGUGAAAGAGGACAGAAAGUGCUUUGAAAGAGUGUGUUAAAGGAGAGAGUCAAGGGGAGGGGAGUGGAGAGUGUGGCUGAAAUCGAGGUGUAUGGGGCUAACAGACAGGAAAGAAGGGGGGAGGAGAAGUAGUGCUCGGAGAAAGAACACAAUGAAGAUGAGGCUGCAUUAGCUGCCCGUCUCAGGCCAAUUACUCUGCUGCUCCCCCUCUCUUCUAUCGCUCCUCUGCUCUCCUCUCUUCGCCCUCACCUCUCACUUUCCUCCUCUCUCCCCCUCUCUCACUUUCUCUAUCUCUGCUCUAACUAUCCACGUGCUGUCAGCAGCAACAGAUCCCUAAACGAUACCGGUCUGCACUGGCAGGUUUUAUCUUCCCGUGCUACAAUAGGAAAGAAGGAUCUGAGAACAGAUAAGAUAGGACCAACCAACAGCGACAAAAAGCAAAGGCAUAAUGGCGAGGCACACGCCUGACACAGUGCUUCACUGCCAUCUAGUGGCGGGUAGCUCGGCAGGAGCUCCAUCGGAGGAGGCUGAUCAUUAGUUACAGGCAGUUGCACUGCCCCAAUGUGAUCAAGAACCACAUCUAAGAAGGUGUUGAGAUGUGUUGCUGUAGUACAUUUGUGUGUGAAAAUCACUCUGUUCUGGCAAACUGUUUGCUAAAAUAUGCAAAUUAAGGUAUUUUUUCUUUUUAAUAAAUACAAUUAAAAGGAUUGAAAUAGACCUCUAUUCUGUGUAAUCUGUUUGAUGCUUCCGCCAUGCCCUUCAAAGUACUUUAUGAAAGCAUAAGGCUGGAGAAUGAUUUACUGAAUUGCUCACAUUAUGAAUAUCCUCCCACUCAACAUGCAUUCUUAUUUCAGUUACUCCUCUGAAUUCAAUACAACUCAGCUGAAGGUAGCUACAAGACAAUUACACAAUUACACCUGAGAGGAAGGUCAAACAGUCAAUGAGCCAAAGCAGUAAGCUAGUACCAUGAAGAAAUUACAAUGCACUGAUGUUUUUUUUUAAAAAAGAGCUAUUGUUACACUUCUUAUCAUAAAGGUAAAUGUAUGUGACUAUUUCUUGCGGAAUAAACUUUACGUCCACUACUUCGCUAAUAAAAACGUUUUUAGGACACCACAAGACCAUGAAAUCUUGACCUUCUGCAGCAGAAUAUUUCCAC
Molecule: long non-coding RNA, 8031 nt
Organism: Anarrhichthys ocellatus (wolf-eel)
Lineage: Eukaryota; Metazoa; Chordata; Actinopteri; Perciformes; Anarhichadidae
Exons: 3
Source: RefSeq, a predicted model, not a curated record